Molecule: ribosomal RNA, 421 nt
Filed under: uncultured bacterium
Lineage: Bacteria
Description: bacterial SSU rRNA
Rfam family: Bacterial small subunit ribosomal RNA
Source: RNAcentral
GACGAACGCUGGCGGCGUGCUUAACACAUGCAAGUCGAACGGUAAGGCCCUUCGGGGUACACGAGUGGCGAACGGGUGAGUAACACGUGGUGAUCUGCCCCGCACUUCGGGAUAAGCUUGGGAAACUGGGUCUAACACCGGAUAGGACCACGGUCUGCAUGGAUUGUGGUGGAAAGCUUUUGCGGUGUGGGAUGGGCCCGCGGCCUAUCAGCUUGUUGGUGGGGUGAUGGCCUACCAAGGCGACGACGGGUAGCCGGCCUGAGAGGGUGUCCGGCCACACUGGGACUGAGAUACGGCCCAGACUCCUACGGGAGGCAGCAGUGGGGAAUAUUGCACAAUGGGCGCAAGCCUGAUGCAGCGACGCCGCGUGGGGGAUGACGGCCUCGGGUUGUAACCUCUUUCAGCAGGGACGAAGGGUGAC